Molecule: long non-coding RNA, 1182 nt
Filed under: Homo sapiens (human)
Lineage: Eukaryota; Metazoa; Chordata; Mammalia; Primates; Hominidae
Description: non-protein coding lnc-CEBPD-12:1
Rfam family: tRNA (bases 308-376)
Source: RNAcentral
CUAUAAUUAAACUUCUACUAAUUAUUCCCACUCUAAUCACUAUAACAUUCCUUACACUAAUUGAACAAAAAAUCUUAGGCUAUAUACAACUACACAAAGGACCUAACACUGUAGGUCCCUAAAGACUACUUCAACCAUUCGUUGAUGCAAUAAAACUUCUCACCAAGGAACUGUUACGGCUCUCAACAUCUACUAUUACCCUUUAUAUUAUUGCUACAACCCUUACCCUUUCUCCUCUUGUGGACUCCCCUUCCUAUAUGUGGACUCCCCUUCCUAUACCAGAUCUUCUAAUUCCACACCAAACAUAGGAAAUAUGUUCAACAAAAGAAUUACUUUGAUAGACUAAACAAUGGAGGUUAAAAUCCUCUUAUUUCUAGAACUAUGGGAAUUGAACCUACCCCUGAGAACCCAAAAUUCUCUGUGCUACUUAUUACACCAUGUCGUAAAGUAAGUUCAGCUAAAUAAGCUAUCAGACCCAUACCCUGAAAAAAUUGGUUAUACCCUUCCCUUACUAACUAAUCCAUUAGCUUAACUUAUUAUCUCCUUUACUAUUGUCACAGGAACUCUUAGCACAAUGCUAGGCUCAUACUGAUUUCUCAUCUGAACAGGACUAGGAAUAAAUAUACUAGUUCUUACCCCAAUCUUAAUUAAAAAAUUAAUCCCCGCUCUAAAGAAGCAUCCACCAAAUAUUUCCUUACACAAGCAACCACAUCUAUAAUUCUCAUGAUAGGUAUCCUUUCCACUAACCUGUCCUGCAGACAAUGAACAAUAAUAAACACUAUUAAUAAAUUUUCAUCAUUAAUAAUAAUAACAGCCCUAGUAAUAAAACUAGGAAUAGCCCCUUUUCACUUCUGAAUCCCAGCAAAAACCAAAGGAAGCUCUCUAAUAUCUGGCAUACUUCUCCUCACAUGACAAAAACUAGCCUGUAUCUUGAUUAUGUUUCAAAUUUUCCAUCAAUAAACAUGAAUAUUCUCCUAUCUAUCACAAUCUUAUUCAUUAUAGUGGGUGGUUGGGGAGGACUUAAUCAAAAACAACUUCAUAAAUUCCUAGCCUACUCCUCAAUUACUCACAUAGGUAGAAUAAUAGCAGUACUAAUUUAUAACCCAAAUAUUACCAUUCUAAACCUGAUUAUUUACUUUUAACAACUACUGCAUUUCUAAUACACAACCUAAGUAAAAGCAC